This is a long non-coding RNA of Sorghum bicolor (sorghum), 750 nucleotides long. RefSeq lists it as uncharacterized. Lineage: Eukaryota; Viridiplantae; Streptophyta; Magnoliopsida; Poales; Poaceae. The transcript has 2 exons. The record is from RefSeq and is a predicted model, not a curated record.
GCCGCCGGGGCAGCCGUACGUGCAGCCGCCGCCGAUGCAGGCGAGCCACGUGCAGCCAGCGCCGCCGCCGGGGUACCCUGGCAGCUACAACGGUGGCAUGAUGAACCCUCCGCCGCUUCAGGUGGUGGCGCCCCAGACGCAGACCCGCGGCGACAAGGGCUUCUGGGAAGGAUGCUGUGCAGCCCUCUGCUGCUGCUGCGUCCUGGACAUGUGCUGCUAAGUAAGCCCGGCGAGAACAGUAGUAUACCUCCAACUAACGAACCAUGGCAUGAUCUCUCCAAGUCUACAUUUGUAAUUGUCUGUGAGUCCGUUCGUGCCUAGAGAAUAAUCAGUGCGUGAUACAACUACCUGUAACGUUACUCACGUACCAUCUGUUUUUAUUAUUAUGUUGGCAUGAGGUUUGAAUUUGUGAAAUGCGAUAACUCAUGUACCAUCUAUUUUUAUUAUGUUGGCAUGAGGUUUGUAUUUGUGAAUUGCGAUACAUGUACGAAGGUACUCCCUCUCUGUUCCAAAUAAUGAGACGUUUUGGUUUUUCUAAAUACAUUAUUUUUGUUAUGUAUCUAGACAUAGAUAUCUAAGUGCAUAGCAAAAACCAUGUAUCUAGAAAAGUCACGGCGUCUUAUACAAUUUGGAACAGAGGGAUAAAGAUUUAUCAUACAGACAAUCUGGAAAAUAAACAGAUAAGCGACAAGGUACAAUAAUAACGACCAUAAUUACCAACGGUAUUUCUGGGUUCUUUUUUUUUUUCUU